AUGGCGGUCACCAUCGACGACGGCGCGACGGCUUCCUUCUGGUUCUCCUCGUGGCUUAGCGGCAGUCAGCUAUGUUUGGCAUACCCAACGGUGUUCGCCCAAUCCAUCUGCAAAAACAGAUCAGUCCGGGAAGCUCUGCACCAGGACAGAUGGAUCCUCGAUCUCCGUCAUGGUUUGGAACAAAGUGGCAACCUGGGUGGGCUGCAGCUCACUGGCACACAUCAACUGGAGCACAGGAACGGCGUGGAGGGGGAGUUCGACAAAGGUCAAGUGGAGAGUAGGGAUGCAUGUGUACCGCCCCUUCUCCCCUCGCCGCCGCCGGUGGGCGUCACCGGGCAAAGCUCGUGUGGCUUGGCGGCAGUGAGGCCCUCUCCUCCUCCUUCUUGGAGUGGCGCGGCGCGGGCCGGCCGCUUCGAAGGAGUUCCGGCGCCUUGGCAUCUGGGGCGGCGCAGCGAGGAAGCGCACAUGGUGGGGCGAGCACGGCGGGCCUUCGCAGGUGGCGGGGCGUCGUGGUGCUCUGAAGCAUGCCGUGCGCGCGCGGAAGGGGAGGAUAAGCGCGGAUCUGAAGCGCGCGGGCUCGCACGGCAGCGUGAGGUGGUGCUUCGGCUCUGGCGGUGCUGCGGUGAUUCGGCAAGGGAGCGGCGUGGAUGCGCAAGGGUCCUUGCUGCCCAGAUUUGUCUGCAGCUCGGGUGGGAAGGAUGCGCUCAUGCGGCGAGGGCAGACAGGGGCUUCCAGAGGCUGCCGGGAGAGGUGAGGCGUGCCGAGGGCGGCGGUUCGGCUGCGAGGGCACGACUGGUGUGGCGCUCGUCACGGCCGUGCUCGUCGGACAACAGCCGCCGUGAGGAGUGCAACGGCCGCUGCAGAGCUCUGUUCCCUCGCCCGGGUCGUUAUCCAGUGCGCGCAGCCGCGGAGCUCCCUUCCAGUGUCGCCGCAGUGCUUCCUCCCACUGCCCGUCGGCGUCUACUGCGCGCAGGCGCGGAGCUCCCUCCAGCGCGGCCGCAGAGCUCCCUCCCGUCGUCCAUGGCGUAUUGUGCGCGCAGCCGCGGAGCUCCCUCCGGCGCCGACGCAGAGCUCCCUCCUAUCGUCCAUCGGCUUCUACUGCGCGUUGCCAUGCUGCAUCUGCCUCCAUUAGCCCGAGCAGGAGGACCCGCGCAGGAGACGGCUCGGGGGCUCUGCGUCGAGGUCGAGCACGGCGCGCGCCGCAGACGGGGCGGAUGGGCACGAGGUCGACGCCGACGACGAAGGCGCCGGUGGGGGAACGGGCGGACGGGGCGGGGGCACCAGGUUGAGCACGGCGCGCGCCGGCGGGAGGAACCGGAAGCGGUCGUCGAGCUGCUGCAGCUUGAAGGCCGCGCGGCUCCGGUAGCCCUACUCCUUGGCGAGGUGGUAGUACUUGUCCUGCCGCUGCCUCCCCUUCGCCUUGCCCAUGGAGCUCUCGACCUGCAUCGGCAAAGAUGGCUCGCCGCGCACAAGCUGCUCGACACAAUGCUCCAUAGAAAUAGAGAUGGGAUGAAGAUGACUAUGUAG
This 1527-nucleotide ribosomal RNA is filed under the name Triticum aestivum (bread wheat). RNAcentral describes it as "partial small subunit ribosomal RNA". Lineage: Eukaryota; Viridiplantae; Streptophyta; Magnoliopsida; Poales; Poaceae. The record is from RNAcentral.